RNA transcript from Bactrocera dorsalis (oriental fruit fly), 4916 nucleotides. It is a transcript of the gene named tetraspanin-5, with no coding region annotated. The transcript is spliced from 6 exons. NCBI's taxonomy places the organism in Eukaryota, Metazoa, Arthropoda, Insecta, Diptera, Tephritidae. The record is from RefSeq and is a predicted model, not a curated record.
UUUUGACAUUCGUUCCAAUAAGGAAAAACUGAUCUGACAAGAAAAGCUUGGAAGAAAACUUCUAUAAAUAUUUUUGUUACAAAUUUAACCCACAUCAAAAAAUUCCAAUAUAUCGUAAUGUUCAAUAAAUAAAAAAAGAGAAUGUGCAUUUAUAGCAAUAUUUUAAAACUUAUUAUAGUGAACAUUGUAAAGACAAAGGGAAUACUUCUGUAGUUCAAGGCAACAGCCUAGGAAAGCAAAUUCUACAUUCUUUUGUAUAAGGUCAAUUUCAUACAAGUCAAUUUUUUUGGUAAUAUAGCAUACGUAUAUAUAAAUAUAAAAAAGUAACAAAAAUGCCUUCCGUACGGAAAUACCGUCGCGAAACCACUGAGAUAAGCUGUUGUUUAAAAUAUCUACUCUUCAGCAGCAACGUAGUUGUUUGGACUGCUGGAUUAUGUGUUCUGGCCGUUGGUAUUUGGGCUUGGAAUGAAAAGGAUAUGUUCAGUAAUUUGGCUAAGCUAACAUUUAUAGCCUUAGAUCCGGCCUUUGUAUUAAUUUGUACGGGCACAAUCACAUUUAUAAUUGGCUUUACUGGAAGCGUUGGAGCGCUACGAGAAAAUACCUGUCUCUUGUCACUGUACGCACUAUUCCUGUCGUUGCUGCUGACAUUUGAAAUAAGCUUGGGCAUAUUAACUUUUGUACUAAAGGAUAAGGGUUGGAUAAAAGAUCAAGCUACAGAGGGAUUACGUGCCUUCAUAAUUCACUACCGUGAAGAUCCAGAUCAGCAAAAUCUUAUCGACUGGAUACAAGAAGAUUGGCUGCAGUGUUGUGGAAUUGAUGGCCCAAAAGAUUGGGAUAGCAAUAACUAUUUCAAUUGCUCAUCCAGCGCCAUUGGAAGUCGGGAAGCAUGUGGAGUGCCGUUUUCAUGCUGCCGUCGGCGACCAACCGAAUUAAUAAAGAAUAAGCAGUGUGGCUACGAUGUGCGCAAGGAAGGAUAUCCGGUGGAACGACAUAUCUAUGAGCGCGGUUGUUUGCGAGCAGGCGAAGAUUGGCUGGAAGCACACUUGAUUAGUGUAGCGUCUUCCUGCAUUUGUAUACUUGUAGUGCAGGUCCUGUUGUACUAACAUUUUUUAAAUCUAGUAUUAUAAUUUAAGCUGCAUGUUAACAAUUUAUGAAUUAUUUUAUUUUUUGUUUUUACAGUUUUUGUCCUACUAAUACUUUUAUUAUUAUUUAUUUUUGUGUUAUCCUAGAAUUUUGAAAUAUCGAAAAUCAUUUACGAAAAAGGCUGUGUACAAGCGGGUGAAGAGUGGAUUGAGCAUAAUUUAAUUAUAAUUUCAACCAGCGUUAUUAUACUUAUUUUCGUACAGAUACUUGGCAUUUGCUUCACACAAAAUCUCCGCGCCGAUAUAAAUGCGCAAAAAUCUAAGUAUCACUGACAAAUACCUUCCGCCGCACCAUGCAAUGGCAUACCGCCAAGACCCACUGCCAUUUAGGUCGGCUACAAGUCCCGCCGCAACAUGUGGGUGUAGUAUGAAAGAGUGCAUAUGUGAAAAUGAACGGGUAAAGUAAUGCAAAGUAAACUAGUUAAACGAUUAAACGUAAGCUUUAAACUUCCGACUAUGCUACCAUUAUGAGUUAGAUACAUAUACAUAUGUACAUACUAAAUAUACCGAACUUAGUGAAACAUAGAGACAUGCAAACACCUAUACUGAAAAAGCAACAACAACUGAAUAGUGAUUAAGGCUUUUUAAAGUUCGAUUUGUAUGAAUUUAGUUAUAUAUUUACACUUUUUAGUUACUCUGUUUUACAUUAAACCGAUUUAUAAGCUCUCCUAAAUGCUUAACAAAUAUUAAAAUCUCGUACACGAUACAUGCUUCCACUAAUUUUCAAGUCAAACUCAAAUUGCAGCUGUGAUAACUCUUUUGGUCAGCUUUCAAAAUACUCACCCAAACAAAACAAAACUAACUUGACUUAUAAUGAUGCAACUCAAACUAAGCAAAAGUUAUAAGCUACAUGCAUACAAAAAUAACACACCUAUGUAUAUACAUAUAUGCAUAUAUUUUUUUAUUUUCACAACAACUUUGAUGCACUUGAAAAGUCUAUUAAGUAUAGCAAACUGUAACCUGAUAUACUGUUUUGUUGCUAUUUAAACGCAAUAAGUGAAGAUAUUACUAUUAGUCCAGAAAAAGUAUACUGCAUAAGUAAAUGUCUAUUUUAAAUACACUCGUCCUUAUGUGGUUGGAGCGCAUGCAUAUUAUUCGGGACGGAGGAAAAAAUGCGCUCACGGCCAUCUAACUAUUUAUCAGCAGAGUCAAGUAAAGACUAACUGUGUUAAUGCUCUAUUCAAUAUAAAUAAAAGGCUCAAACCAAAGUAAUUAAGCAGAUUUAGUCCUACUAACUAUUAAAUAAACUAAUAAGUGUAACGAAAAAAAGGACUCGUGAGUUUCGUUAGCUUAAACGAAACGCAAAAAUCUAGUUAUUUUGUGAGACCACAAUAAGUGAGUUAAGUAUAAAAUUACUUUUACACGUUAGGAAUUACACUUAAAAUGUAAACUAAAUAAAAAUAUGCGAUAUGACAUAUGCAUGUAUUAGGGUGGUGAUUAUUAUUUUAUGUUUUCAUUGUAAUUUUACUUCUGUACAUUUACAAAAAAGUAAAUACACUCGUGGCCACGCAAACCUUACUACUAUAUUUUCGUAAAUUUUGUUUCGGCCUUUUGUUGUUUUUUUUAUGUUUUUAGUAAGCAGAAGUAAACUGAAUUAUAUUAUCUAAAUAUAAUUAUAGUUUUUAAUUUAUUACGUUUAAUGAGUAAAACACAGGUUAGCUUUUACUAUACAAAAGCGGCCGAUAUUAUUGUUUUUAAAGUGAUACACCGACUAAAAUUCGUGUUUCAAUAAAAAAAAAUAAAAUAAAAUAUUAAUUUCAAUUAUUGUGUAAAUAAAAUAAAAUUAAAAAAUAUAAUUUUUUCAUCUUUUUUCAUUUUCAUUUAGAGCUCAUUUUGGUAAGCUCAUUAUCUUACAAUUGAUUUCUCUAUGUAUAGCUGAAUAUAUUUUGUUUUUAAUUUUUAAUAUUUUUGAUAAAUAACAUGUCAUUAACUUAUUUCUAAAUAAAAAAUUUCUAUACCGCAAAAAGUACCGCUAUAAAGUGUAGUCAAAUAUGCACAAUACUUGAGAAUUUUGAGUGGUAAGGUUUGCGUGGCCACGAGUGUACAUAUAAUACAAAAAGUUUAAAAAGGAGCUAGUAAAGGAUUUUUAAAAAUACAAAUAUAAAUAUAAUAAUCUGUUCAAGCAAAACGUAGGCUAAGAUUUUAAUCUUUUUUGGGUCUAUAACUCUUUGAUGCGAAACUUUUUCCUUAUGCCAUUAAAAAUAUAACAAAUUGCAUACAAUUUUUAGCAUAUUUUUGCUCCACCCUAAUACAUAUGUCUAGGUAUGUACUUACAUUUAAAUAAAAAUUAGUUAGAUAUUGGACAGACGAAUAUUGUACUGAUUUAUAUGUAUAUAAGUAAUAACAAUUAGCUAGCAUCACAUACUAUUAUUAACUAAAAGAGAUUUCUGUAUUGAAAAACUCUUAGAUAUAAGCUGAACUUGCAAAGGAAUCUCAAUUUUCAACUCAAAAAUUCAGAUCAGCCAUGGAAUUUUGACAAAAGUUUGUUUUUGUUUUUCAUCUCACGUUUUUACGGUUUUUCAUACCAUUAUUCUUUAAAUAUUAACGCCUGUUAUUAAUAUGCUCUAAGGCCAGGCGUAUAAUUGCCUUCUUUUACUCCCGCUGUUGUCGUAAGAUGUAUUUUCACUGCCCGAAUAUAAAGAAAUUAUUAUUGUAAUAGCUCUCAGUAAAAAAAAUCUCUUUAAUAUAAGUAUUUGCCUUUCGACAACUUUUGCGUACAAAGAAAAAAUUGAUAUUAUCUUGAAAGUAUUUAAAAAAAUGUUUAUUUAUAUGUUAAUUUGUAAAGUAAAAAAAAUUAGAAAAUUGCAUUCCAUAAAAAGUAAAUCUUACAAGUAAGCUAGAAUAAUUGUCUUUCCUUCUUCUUCCUUAUUUUAUUUAUUUCCAUUUUUUAUUUUUGAUAUUUUCAAUGUUUUACUUUGUAAUACGUAUUUAGUUUUGAGUGCAUUGUUUAUAAAUCGUUAUAUUAAAUAUAAAGCUUAUUGUUUGUGUUUAUGUAACACCAAUUAAGAUUACUCGAUUACUAUCUGUAAGCAUUAGGUCGCUUAAAUUAAUUGCCUGCGCUUCGUCAAACCUUGGAAAGUUUGGUAUCUGUCAAACAACAGGUAAAUAACAGAAAUAACAUAAGUGUAUUCAACUUUAAUGCGGUAACCACAUAUUAUAUUGAAUACAAACUAUAAAAUAUCCUUCUUACUUUAAGUUAUAAAACUUUGAAAAAAAAGAACAGUGGUAAGGCGUUUCGUAGGCAGUUUAUGAUAUUCAAGAUAUGUUAAACAUUUUCUUUAAUGCUUCCAUUACACUAUAAAAUAUUGAUUACAUAAAAUGUUAUGUAGGUUAUGUACACACACACUUUUUUAGAUAGUUAUAAAUAUUAUAUAGUAUUACGAAACGAAUAAAUUUCUCUCGUUUGCCAAGCAUUUUCCUGUAAGCAAAUAAUCGUAAGUGUAGUAAAUACAACAAUUACAUUAAUAUUUUUAUUUGUAGAAAUAACGUAUGGCUUUUAGAAUAGCAUGCCGCGAUUACGGGAUUUAAAUGAAUGUGGGCUGAAAGAAGAGGUUCUUUAAAUUAAUAUUAUAUGCAAUAUAUACAUAGGUUAUAUGCCUUCGUAAAAUGUUUAUAUGCAAUUAAUGCCCGGUUUCACAGUCCAUACUUAAGUUGUGCCCAAAUAAAAUCUUAGCUAAGCAUUGUUGCAGACUGAGUAGUCGUUUGUGUUUCACAGUCAAUGCUUAAUUUCUAUAAAAUUUUAUUAUGAUAUAUGGCAACGUUAUGGGCAACAUA